This 460-nucleotide ribosomal RNA is filed under the name uncultured bacterium. RNAcentral describes it as "partial 16S ribosomal RNA". It matches the Rfam family "Bacterial small subunit ribosomal RNA", at positions 338 to 795 of the family's 1533-position model. The record is from RNAcentral.
CCUACGGGGGGCAGCAGUGAGGAAUAUUGGUCAAUGGACGAGAGUCUGAACCAGCCAAGUAGCGUGAAGGAUGACUGCCCUAUGGGUUGUAAACUUCUUUUAUAUGGGAAUAAAACGUUCCACGUGUGGCAUUUUGUAUGUACCAUAUGAAUAAGCAUCGGCUAACUCCGUGCCAGCAGCCGCGGUAAUACGGAGGAUCCGAGCGUUAUCCGGAUUUAUUGGGUUUAAAGGGAGCGUAGGUGGAUUGUUAAGUCAGUUGUGAAAGUGUGCGGCUCAACCGUAGAAUUGCAGUUGAAACUGGCAGUCUUGAGUACAGUCGAGGUAGGCGGAAUUCGUGGUGUAGCGGUGAAAUGCUUAGAUAUAACGAAGAACUCCGAUUGCGAAGGCAGUUCACUGGACUGCAACUGACACUGAGGCUCGAAAGUGUGGGUAUCAAACAGGAUUAGAUACCCGAGUAGUC